UGACGGUCGACGCGUCAAUUCAUUUCAUUUCAUUUUUUUUUCUCGAUUGCCCAUGGAUGGAUCGAGGAGACCAUUGAAGCGGAUUUAAAAUAAUGCAGGAGUCCGUCCCAUCUGUAGAGAUCGUUCCAUUUAAAUAGUGUAUGAUACACAUUAUUAGAUACAACAAAUAUCCAGAGCAGGGGGACGAAGACACUGAUAGAAACCAGAUAUGGCACAAGUAGCAGUUCACAGAGAAUGGAUUUCAUUGUACGCAAUCAAGUGAAUACGAUCGACAAUGCAGAGAGCAAUGAAUGAAUUGAUGAGAGUUAUUAUUAGUUACGAGCAUAAUAAUCAGCUCCAUCCUGAAACAGAUGAAAAGUGAUCCACCACGAGGGAGUGAUUCCACGUUGCGCUCUUCCGUUAUUCGAAUAGAUAUUUUUUGGGUGGUUGAGAGAAGAAGAAGAAGAAAGUGGAGGAAACACAUCGUCACUCAAAGAAACUUGAAAUUGGAAGGUCUUCAGUCUCAAAUUCGCCCAACCUUGCCAAAACGGUGCGUCGUCAUCGCCAGCCAAGAAUGGGAACUUCUUGUAACAAUUUUCUGGGCAACAAUCAGCUGGAUAAUCGGAUUCGAUGGGAUCUUCUUC
Molecule: long non-coding RNA, 623 nt
Organism: Apis laboriosa (Himalayan honeybee)
Lineage: Eukaryota; Metazoa; Arthropoda; Insecta; Hymenoptera; Apidae
Exons: 4
Source: RefSeq, a predicted model, not a curated record